Molecule: ribosomal RNA, 253 nt
Filed under: uncultured bacterium
Lineage: Bacteria
Description: partial 16S ribosomal RNA
Rfam family: Bacterial small subunit ribosomal RNA
Source: RNAcentral
UACAGAGGGGGCAAGCGUUGUUCGGAAUUACUGGGCGUAAAGGGCGCGUAGGCGGCCUUCUAAGUCGAACGUGAAAUCCCCGGGCUCAACCCGGGAACUGCGUCCGAUACUGGGAGGCUUGAAUCCGGGAGAGGGAUGUGGAAUUCCAGGUGUAGCGGUGAAAUGCGUAGAUAUCAGGAGGAACACCGAUGGCGAAGGCAGGUCUCUGGGCCGAUACUGACGCUGAGGAGCGAAAGCGUGGGGAGCGAACAGG